GUGGUUUUUAAUUAAGAGGCUACUCACCUAGACAAUUUUGUCUAUGACAAGUUAGUGGCAUACCCUUCUGUCGAUCUUACUCAUCUGACCAAUUAGAUGAUUGGAUUCAUUAGUUGCUAAGGUGCUUUGAUUUAGCCCAUGCUAGUUAGAUUGAUCAUAUGAUGAUUAAUUAGAUGAGACCAGACCUAAACCGUCCUAAUCGAUAUUAAGCCUUAUGGUCUUCCAUCAUUGUAGAAGUGCAG
RNAcentral lists this long non-coding RNA (242 nucleotides) under Elaeis guineensis (African oil palm). RNAcentral's name for it is "long non-coding RNA (EGUI_LNC042264)". Lineage: Eukaryota; Viridiplantae; Streptophyta; Magnoliopsida; Arecales; Arecaceae. The record is from RNAcentral.